Molecule: transfer RNA, 76 nt
Filed under: Marine Group II euryarchaeote MED-G37
Lineage: Archaea; Methanobacteriati; Thermoplasmatota; Candidatus Poseidoniia; Candidatus Poseidoniales
Also listed under: 5 other names
Description: tRNA-Gln
Rfam family: tRNA
About the family: Transfer RNA (tRNA) molecules are approximately 80 nucleotides in length.
Source: RNAcentral
AGUCCCGUAGUGUAGCGGUCCAUCAUCUCAGGUUUUGGUCCUGGGGACCCUGGUUCAAAUCCGGGCGGGACUACCA